CCUACGGGAGGCAGCAGUGAGGAAUAUUGGUCAAUGGACGCAAGUCUGAACCAGCCAUGCCGCGUGCAGGAAGACGGCUCUAUGAGUUGUAAACUGCUUUUGUACGAGGGUAAACGCAGAUACGCGUAUCUUUCUGAACGUAUCCUACGAAUAAGGAUCGGCUAACUCCGUUCCAGCAGCCGCGGUAAUACGGAGGAUUCAAGCGUUAUCCGGAUUUAUUGGGUUUAAAGGGUGCGUAGGCGGUCGGAUAAGUUAGAGGUGAAAUCCCGAGGCUCAACUUCGGAAUUGCCGCUGAUACUGUUAGGCUAGAGAGUAGUUGCGGUAGGCGGAAUGUAUGGUGUAGCAGUGAAAUGCUUAGAGAUCAUACAGAACACCGAUUGCGAAGGCAGCUUACCAAGCUACGUCUGACGUUGAGGCACGAAAGCGUGGGGAGCAAACAGGAUUAGAUACCCGGGUAGUC
RNAcentral lists this ribosomal RNA (460 nucleotides) under uncultured bacterium. RNAcentral's name for it is "partial 16S ribosomal RNA". It matches the Rfam family "Bacterial small subunit ribosomal RNA", at positions 338 to 795 of the family's 1533-position model. The record is from RNAcentral.